GCCCGAAUAGCUCAGUCGGUAGAGCAGGGGAUUGAAAAUCCCCGUGUCGGUGGUUCGAUUCCGCCUCCGGGCACCA
Molecule: transfer RNA, 76 nt
Filed under: Pantoea stewartii
Lineage: Bacteria; Pseudomonadati; Pseudomonadota; Gammaproteobacteria; Enterobacterales; Erwiniaceae
Also listed under: 4 other names
Description: tRNA-Phe
Rfam family: tRNA
About the family: Transfer RNA (tRNA) molecules are approximately 80 nucleotides in length. Their secondary structure includes four short double-helical elements and three loops (D, anti-codon, and T loops).
Source: RNAcentral